Molecule: ribosomal RNA, 305 nt
Filed under: uncultured bacterium
Lineage: Bacteria
Description: partial 16S ribosomal RNA
Rfam family: Bacterial small subunit ribosomal RNA
Source: RNAcentral
ACAGCAGCAGCCACGGGAAUACGGAGGAUCCAAGCGUUAUCCGGAAUCAUUGGGUUUAAAGGGUCCGUAGGCGGUCUUGUAAGUCAGUGGUGAAAGCCCAUCGCUCAACGGUGGAACGGCCAUUGAUACUGCAGGACUUGAAUUAUUGGGAAGUAACUAGAAUAUGUAGUGUAGCGGUGAAAUGCUUAGAGAUUACAUGGAAUACCAAUUGCGAAGGCAGGUUACUACCAAUUGAUUGACGCUGAUGGACGAAAGCGUGGGUAGCGAACAGGAUUAGAUACCCCCGUAGUCCCUGUCUCUUAUAC